UACGGAGGAUGCAAGCGUUAUCCGGAAUGAUUGGGCGUAAAGCGUCCGCAGGUGGCUAUGUAAGUCUGCUGUUAAAGAGUCUGGCUCAACCAGAUAAAGGCAGUGGAAACUACAUGGCUAGAGUGCGUUCGGGGCAGAAGGAAUUCCUGGUGUAGCGGUGAAAUGCGUAGAGAUCAGGAAGAACACCGGUGGCGAAAGCGUUCUGCUAGACCUGUACUGACACUGAGGGACGAAAGCUAGGGGAGCGAAUGGG
RNAcentral lists this ribosomal RNA (253 nucleotides) under uncultured bacterium. RNAcentral's name for it is "partial 16S ribosomal RNA". It matches the Rfam family "Bacterial small subunit ribosomal RNA", at positions 524 to 776 of the family's 1533-position model. The record is from RNAcentral.